Molecule: long non-coding RNA, 25509 nt
Filed under: Nicotiana tabacum (common tobacco)
Lineage: Eukaryota; Viridiplantae; Streptophyta; Magnoliopsida; Solanales; Solanaceae
Description: long non-coding RNA (NTAB_LNC000190)
Source: RNAcentral
GAUCCCAUCUCCCCGUUUAAACCUAGAGACCCAACCCCAACUAUUCCCAAACACUAAUCAUUCCUCACCAGACUCGGCCGCCCUCAUUUCCUCUUCCUCUCUUAUUUCUCUCAAACACACCAAACCAAUCAAUCAGAGAACCUUGCACAAAUUAGUGCAAUGUCGCGAAUCAAACCACAUAUUAUUCUUAUUGUCAUCUUAAUCCUCGAAUCCCGCUAUUUCUUUCCUCUUUCAUUAUUGAGAUUCAAAAUCCCCAAUCCGAAAACCCUAACCUAGAGCUCAACUUCGGACCAACUGAUUUUCUUCUUCGUACUUUCAAAUCCAUGGCAUGCAUGGCCAUCCAUCUUGUCUCAUUACUGCGAAUUUUGCUAUUCCCUUUCCGUUUCAACCCUUUAAUAUCAAAAUCCCUAAUGUUGAAAUCACAGACUAAAAGGUGAAAAUUCCAAUCAUUUGAGAUCUCCUUUGUUCUUUCGUAUCAAAGCACAUGAGAAGCCUCUUCAGAACUUCAUCAUGAAGAUUCUGUACCCAGAGGUCAAGCGUAGUGGCCUCUGGGUUUUUGAGCUUUGCCCGAUGGUUCCUUUCCAUCAACGGCCGACUCACUCCACUCAGGUAAAAUUAAUACUACUUUUUACCUCUGGUUUUCUCUGAUUUUCACUUGUUUUGCUCACAUCACUGCCUCAUUGUCAUCUUUCACUCACCGAGUUUGAUUUCUAUUGAACCCUAAGGCAUUGAAUACCACUAUAAAAGGAGCCUUCAAUGCUCUCACCUAACAACACAUGACACACACGAAAAUCACCUAAACAAGCAGAAAAACUACUUAAACUACAAAGAUAGUAUUUAUUACGGUUUUGAGUAGCAAUCUCAGGCUAGGGUUCUAAUUAGGUUAUGAUAUCUUUUCCGUUCAAAGCUUUACACUAAUUGGAGUUUGACUCCCUGAUUCUUAAUGACUAAGCAAGACUCUUUUUGGUUUGUUGCUCAAAAGAAACUCAGUGCACUUGACCUUCUCUUCUUUAUUUUUAAUUGCUGAAAACAUGUCUACUCUGUUACCUUUUACUGAUUGUGUUCAGCUUAUGAUGUUUUGUUGUUAGCUUACAAUUGAUUAUCUCUGUUCAUGAUAUGUUCAUAAUCAACUAUUAUGCUCAGGCAUUAUAUGAUUCAAGUUGAUACUAAUUCUUUAUUGUGUGACUAAUAAGUACUGCUCUACAUUAUGUAACCUGUAUGAUCAAGCUUCUGUGAUUAACUAAAGAAUCUUGAUAAUUUCUUACACUCAUUCUGACUUUUCUGUUAUGUCUUUCAUGUCCACCUUACUGAUUCUGCUUUAGUGUUAUCUCUUGAUUUAUACCUGAAGUUAUUUGUAGAUAAAGCUAACUAAAGAAUGGAUAUGAACACCUAAGGUUAAGUAUAGAGUUGUCACUUUAAUUCAAGUAUAGUAGUUUAUAAUGCUUGAGUUAUUUUCUUCCCUAAUGUGUUCUUCUGUGAUUCUGUAACUCUAGAGAGAUUAGUGUAAAAGUAUUCUAUCAGCUCCGAUAAUUGUUUGAUCACAUCAGUAAGUCUCAUUGUAUGAGAUAAUGCUUUAAAGUAACUAGAGUAAGUUCUAAUGAAUCUCUGCAUUCAAGUUUUUGUCUGAUUCUAUCUACUUAGCUUAAGCAAUGCCUAUAAACCUGAUUUAAGUUGCACCUGCUAUGGUUGAGUAUCAUCAAUUGAAUUAGGCAUUGCUAAACUUCACACGACAAACAAAUCUACUUAACUUAUAACUGAACCAUGCUUACUUAGUAUAAACUUUCACUAUUCUGGACCACCAUAAUGACAAUGUUAGUCUAAUCUUAUAUUGUUUGGUACUCAAUCAUGUUGUAAUUUUGUAGUCCGGUUAGAAUGUAACAUGUACACAUUUGAAUGUCAUUUAUUGGAAGUUCUCUACUCAUCCCUGUUUCAGAAGGGGAGUGCUGCUUGUAUAUCAUAUUUGUGACUGUACUUCCAUAUCAUUGAAACCUACUAAGUUUACUGUAGUUUACCCAUGGACUUAGGAGAGGCCCUUUGAUGUUUAUCUGCCAUGUUUGAGUGUAGGACUGUAUAUUUAAUUUAUAACCAACCUAGAUGGAAUAAAAGAUCUCUUUAUAGGUCAUAUCACUUGUUAAGUAAAUAUAUUUGACUAUCCCUGUCUUUAACAACCCUGAAGUGAACUGUUGAGUACUCUCAAGCAUGAUAAAGUACAUGAAAAUGUAUUAUAUGCUUAUAUGUGAACCAAGAUCUCUUAUAAUAUUAUAUGCAGUAUUCUAAAUAGUUAUUUAUAAGAAAUAUACAUCUCCUUAUGUGUAGUCACGGUUGUUGUAUUAUAAUUUAUAUUGAGUGCCUCAUUAGCACUCAACGCUGCAGGGGAGAGUAAGUGAGUAGUUAGGGGUAUUUGGGAGUAGAAUUUAGUUUCUGGUUGAGAUAUUCUCCUUGACAAAAGCACUGCUCGUGGUCCUUGUGACCCUUGUGAACUUUGAAAUACCAAGGAUCAUAGGGUAUCUCGGCCAUGGAUGGAAUUUUACCCUAAUCCUUUAAUUAUUGACAUUUGCUAAUCUCUUUACGUUUAUUGUCUAAUGGAAACAAAGGUUUCACUGUAAAUUGCUUUACUCUGUGUGACUCCACAUUAAUUUGUAUUCCUAACUGCUAUUGAUUGUUACAGUUUAUCUUGGGCCUAUAUUGGUAUCACUUAUGUUUAAAUAUUAUAUUGGGCCACAUAUCUAAUAACCUUCUCUUUUUACGCAUGUGUCUGAAUUGGACCUGCCAAGUUCUCAAAGAACUCAGGCCCAAAUUCUUGCCUGAACCUUAUGAGUCACCUGAAGCUGCCGUUGUUUGCGUAAUGUCUGCUGGGCCUAAUUCCUCUCAGGCCCAAAUCAUGAGUCCAUUUCAUUUUUCCUAUUGCUUUUAUAAGUCUAUUGUUGCUCAUAUAUGUAUCAACACUGACGAUAUUGAUUGAAUAUUUUUACUUUUAUUUUCUUUGAGUUAUAUUAACUACCUAGGCAAGUCUCAAAGAGCGUAGGUAAAAAGAAGAGUAGUACUUAACUUAGUAGUAAUUAAUUCUAAUUUGUUAAUUAUUUUUAUUUAUUUAGUUCUCAACUCUUACUAACAAUCUUUUAAUGAUAUUUUUGAAACUAAGAAAGAUUUGCAAAAGAGUCAACAACCUUCUCUUUUUUAAGACAAGAAGAAAAUCGAAACUAACCAAAAAGUUUUUUCCAAAAACAAGCUGGCUAUUUCUGCGAAUCAAAAGAACAGUGCUGCAAUUAAGAGAUCUUCAAACGAUUUCUUCAAAUUUGAAUAUAAAGUUUGAAAAUCAAAUUUCCAAGGUAUAUCUAAACCCUGAUUUCUCAAAUGGUUCUUACUUUAUAUAAAUAGACACGUUUUUUCAAAGUCAAUGUUUUUAAACUUAACCCCCAUUUAUUAUUUAAGUAUGUGUUAUAUACCUAUUUUUCUAAACAUUCUUUCAAUUGUAUAGACAUUUUCAAAGGCAUUUCUCUUAAAUAAAGCUUACGCGUUUUCAAAGCAUAUACACUACUUCUCUUUCAAAAUUAAUAGGUUUUUAAAAUGUAACACAAGGUAAGCUACACAUCUUUAAGAACUUACUAAGUAGAUAUAGACAUUUAAUUCCCCGAACCUAGUCUAAAUCCUAUGGAGCUACCUUAGGUAGAUUCUAGGGGGGUCCCUAACACAUUCCUUUUAGAAGAACAAGAACCCUUAUCCAAAAUCUCACUAGUUAGCAGACUAAUAGGAUAAUGAUCUUAAUCAUUAAAUAGGUACCCUAGUAUAACUUUAAUUAGUAGGUGGCGACUCUCUUUUAUCAUCAAUAUGGAAACCAGUAGUUAAAUCUUAUUUUGACUUGUGCAAAAUAGGGUACAACAACAUGACAACUCUACUGGAAAAUUACACUUAGGUUCUGACCUUUGCAGAUUUGGACUAGACCUAGAAUUUAGGAACAUUUGUUUAUAUACUACUUUAACUGUGCUUAAUUUGCAAAUAUGUGCUUACCUGCUUACUUGUUCAUUAUGUACUUAUCUGCUUGCUCUAUUGUUAUACCUAACAUCCCACUAUUUGUUACCUCUUUAUAUACACUAUCAUCAUACACUUUCCUAUCGAGUCUUGGCCGUACACUAUCACAUACAAUGGCACGCGAGGGUUGUCUUUUAUACCCCUCCGAACCUUCUUUCAAAAUUUCUUAGUUUCAAAGAAUUGCUUUGUCACAUCAACUGGCAUAAGUUCUCGCAAUAUUUAGUCCAACUCAAAAACUAGGAAACAUUCUACUCUAGCAAACAUAGGCCAUACUGCAUAAACCUUAGGUGAGUCGGUCCUUGGCAUCUGCACACAAUUAGGAAAGAAACCCUAAUGGCAACGGGUCAUGCACCUAACGACAUGAAUCUUGUGGAACGACGAACCAAUCACGUUGAGACACUAAAGAUACGGAGCAAAACACUUAUCAAACCUUUUCUACCCUCUUCAGAAAUGGAAAUCAACCAGAACAUCCCCGAGAUUAAUAUGGUCAUGGGAGCACCGCACAAGCUAAAGCAAUGGUGGAAGAAUAUUUAUCGAGAGCAUGGAGACAAAAUCAGGAUGCACCUAUGAGCAUUGGGUUGCCUUACUAAACAUCCGGGCCGACAUGGUGCUUACCCAUUUGCUGAUAGAAUUCUGGGAUCCAGCCAAAGUGGUUUUCAAGUUCGCCAACUGUGAAUUGGUGCCAACGUUGGAAGAAGUUACCAUCUUCAUUGAACUGCCAUUUACUAAGAGAAAGACGAUACUACUGGUUACCAUGCCCCGCUACAGAUUUCUCGAUGCUUUGGGUUUUGCGGGUAGUCGGAGUUUGAGGAACAUUGAAGACGGAUGGGUAAGCCUGGACCAAUUAUUUGACAGGUUUGUAUAUAGAGAGAGCUACGAAUGGUACUUGGGAGAGUUCCAAUGUGAUUAGGCAAACCGGGAAAGUCUCCUCCCCAUAAUCUUCUCUUUGGCGUUGUUACGAUUGCUGGUUUUCACACAAAGGAGAGGAUGGAUCAAUAUCAACUUGCUGUUUGUGGUCUUGGCAACAUACCGAGGCAACCUCCAAGCCAGAUUAGUACCUAUGAUAUUAGCAGAAAUUCUCAGAGCACUGUCUGCAUGUUCUCGGGGGUACGAUUUCUUUAAGGGAUGCAACCUGUUACUCCAAAUAUGGGCCACAGAGCACUUCUUUCAACAAGAGGCCACAAUUGAUUACUUUGUGGGUGUUAGAAAUAUAAUUCGGAGUCACAAUGAAAGAAUGAGGCACUGGGUCUCCCCGCACAGACAUGAAGAAUGGAGAGAGAUGCUGACCAACUUGAGCGGAGAAUGGAUAAACUAGAAGCUUUCGUGGCUGAACGGUAGGGCAAUUCUAAGGACUCCCAGAAGUAUUUCAUCGAGCUGAUAAGACUCCAAGGCAUUCACCCAUAUGCACCCCUAUGAUCUCUCAGGCUGUUUGGUUUGAUUUGGGAUGUACCUCUCUGGACGAGGAUGGCUUUUUAUGAAGAUGAGUACAAUGGGCAGAUCCCGAUACCAAGGAUAAGGAGACUUUAAGAGGAGUGGAAUGAUUUAAUUAUGAUGACAAUGGGUCAGAAUUCGUGGUGCACCCCAGAAUACUAUCUCUGGAUCAAUGAAGAGAGUGAGCUGGCCUGACCAAGCAAGGAAAGAAUAUCCUGGUUAGAAGAUGCAGUAGCAACCUUGCAAAUCUAUAACGAGAUCUUGCCUCACUACCUCGUGACAACCUCCAUGCAUCGCCAAGUGGUCCCAGGAUCAGUUGAUCAUAUGCUGCCACCCCCAGAGGAUGAUGACUGAGUGGUCGAGUGUAUACAAAUUGAGUCUGAGACAGAACCAGAAGAAGAUCUAGAAGAAGGGCCCGAGUUCAAUGAUGAUGAAGAAGACCCGGAAGAGGAAGAAGACAUGGGAGAUGAUUCUGGGGAUGGCUAUUAGUAGCUAGUUGAUUUCACCCUUUUCCCACCUUGUAUCCUUUAUCCCAAACCCUUUCAUUUCCCUAAGGGCAAGUCUAUUGAGCCCAUGUAAUCUUAUGGAUGUUGGAAAAAUAAUGUUGUAAUCCUGCUCCUGCCUGUUACAAUCCAAAUAUUAUUAAUGAAAAACCAAAAUUUGCUUCGAAUCUAAACGUGUCAAAUAUAAUUAUUUGUCAAAUAUUCGCAACUUAGGCCCACCUCCGGCAAAGAGAGGUCACUCGCACAUUAGGAAAUGCGCUUACUUGAAUGCGUGAACUAACUGCUCUACGUGCUCAUAUUUAUGCAAACACUGAAACUGACUUCUGCUCUUCUUUUAUUUUCUUUUCAUUUCUUGCAUUACUAUAUUAUUAUUCACCAAAGAAGAAGAGGUUGUUUUGUGUUGACUGAAAACUGGUGGAACCACGAUACAAUUUGAGAUCGAAAGGGAAGAUGUCUUCGAUAGAUGACCCGAUCGGACACGCUUUGGUACUAGCUGAUAGCCCAGGGCAAUUGGGAAAAAGGAUAGUACUCGGAACAACGAACAUGUUGCUAGGAUGGUACAAUAGAUGGAAUCGUUGAGAGAGGAAGUACAACACAUUCAGGAACUGGCGCAUCUGGUCGUGACGAUGCUCCUACAACCACCCUGCUUUGUUUCACUAGAUUCGAUCCUCGAUCACUUUCCUUCAAUUACCCACCAAGCAAACAAUAGCCCAACUUCAGUCACUAUAAUCCAGAUUAUACCUCCAGUAACCCUUGCAAACCCACCAAAUCCUUCCAUAGAUACCCUUAUGUACCAAAUUAUGUUUAGACACUGCAAAAUCUACCAGUCACUACCAAUACAGUUCAUACCCAUCCUCGCAACGGCGUCACCUUUGCCAACAAUCAUAACCAGCAUAUACCUGCGGCAUACACUGCCGCACAUGAGCGAUAUUUUCAACUCGUAUAUGCCGUUUACGAAUCAACCUUCACAACGGCCAUCACAGUCAGAUUGCCUUAUGAAGUCCAUCAGUAUGCCCAAAUAGAGAAGGAAGAUAAGUAUAAAGAGGAAGAAUCCGUAUCAAAACAGCUGCGAGCAUUAAGGAAACAAAUGAAGAACCUUAAGGUUGCUCGAGGGAGCGAAAGUCUAGAUUACGAGGAUCUGUGUAUACACUCUGAUGUGGACAUACCAGUAGCGUAAAAGCCUCCGAAGUUUGACAUCUUUGAUGGGACAUGUGAUCCCCAUGCACACUUGAGAGCCUACUGCGAUAAGCUAGUUAGAGUAGGAAGAAAUGAGAAGUUAAGGUUGAAACUAUUUAUAAGAAGUUUGAGAGGAGAGGCACUCACUUGGUACACCCGCCAGGAUCCCAGAAAUUGGAGAGAGUGGCAAGAUAUGGUAGAAGAUUUCAUGAACCAUUUUCGGUUCAACACAUAAAUUACUUCAGAUAGGUUUGCCCUAGUAAAUUUACAGAAAAAGCCGUCAGAAUCAUUUCAGGAGUAUGCCCGUCGAUGGAGGUCAGAGGCCUCUAGGACCCAGCCCCCGCUAGAUGACAACGAGCUGACCAAAUACUUCAUCAGGGCUCAAGAAGGAAUCUACUUUGAAAAGAUGAUGAGCAUGAUGGGGCAGAAGUUCCCCGAACUUGUCAAAAUGGGAAACUUUCUAGAGGAAGGCACCAAGUCCGGCAAGAUACAAUCUAUGGCCGCAUUGCAAACAACUAGCAAAGCAAUUCAAUCCGGUUUGAUAGGCAGCGAAAAGAAGAAUAAAGAAGUGGUAUCAACAAUCGUUCCCUAUUACCAGUCCAAUUCACCCCAUGGAAAUAACUCAUACUCUCCGAGCACCCAUCCUCCACACCCACCUACUUAUGCUCCAAAUAUACAACACUCAACCAUAUUAUAAUCCCCAACCUCAAUAUAGCCCACCUCGUGUCCAUAUAAAUCCAAAUCCACCACGACCAUACACUCUAGUUCAUACCACCACCAUCAUAAUCGACCCACCUAUGCACCCCGAGCUCGCCCAAAUUUCAAAGAAAGAGGUCCCAGAAACUACACCCCGAUUGCAAAACCAUUGGCUCAAUUGUUUGAAAGAUUGAGGAGAUCUGGAUUUAUAUCCGGUAUAAGGGAGGAUUCCUGAACACCCUUCAAAAUACUUUGAUGUAACUAAAUGAUGCGUCUACCAUUCAGGUGUACCGGGACAUGAUACCGAGGAUUGCUUCAGGCUGAAAAAUGAAAUUGAGUCACUGAUCAAAAGUGGAGCCAUUUAGUGCACCCUAGCUCUACUAAAUGUGAACCGUAACCCACUGCCAAACCACAAGAACCAAGGAGCUAAUAUGAUCACCUUGGACGAGGAGUAUGACUUGAAAGGGACCAUCGUCACAGUAGGAAACACUAAGGCUACAAUGGUUCCACCCCGAAGAACUCUGACGAUCACUGUAUAGUUAAAACCUCCAGUGAUGGUCCAGACAUACCAGCAAUAGUCCACCGCCGUUAAUAGGAAUGAGGAGGAUCGGGAAUACAAGCAGUCUCAUGGUCAUAUUAGCAUAAAGAGAAAGGCAAGAUGACGAAUUUCACAGCAGCCCAUGUAAUGACCAGGUCAGGGAGGUGUUACGCUCCGGAGGAGGUAAACUGAGGAAAUCCAGGAAGGGAAUAGAUUCAGAGGAGGAACAGAACAAAUUCUAAGGCCGCAGAAUUUUGGAAGAAGUUUUCAGCUAAAGAAUACUCUAUGGAGGAGCAAUUGAAGAAAACCCCUGCACAUAUAUCAUUCAUGGACCUGCUAAUGAAUUAUGACAAUCAUGAAGAUGCCUUGAUGAAGGUGUUAAGUAGAGUGAGUGUGUUGGUCAAUUGAGGCUUGAACCGUGCAUGUACCUUUAUGUCAAUUGCCUUCUUGAACGCUUAGACAUUCCCUUUGAUGAAAUAAAAGAAUUGCUUUCUUAAAAUUAUCGCAAACUUAUUUAUCGCUUCAUUUAUACUUAGAUUUUCUUUUCAGUAAUCAAAAUGAUAAGAAACCACAUUUUGUGAUUAUGACAUGUAAUGAAACUCUCGAGCAAAGCGAUCCAGACUUCGAGGAGUACGACGAAAGCAUGAUGCUAGAUAAUCUCCCACAAGAGAUCGGGCAGUUGGAAAGCCAGAAAAGCCCAACCUUAAAGAGACUGAAGUAGUCAACCUGGGAAGCGAAGAAGAUAUGAAAGAAACUCGAAUCAGCAUCCAUUUAGAAGUGGAGCAGAAAGAAGUACUGGUCGAGCUCCUCGGACAAUACAUCGACGUAUUUGCGUGGUCAUAUGACGACGUGCUCGGAUUGAGUACUGACAUCAUUUUACAUCGGUUGCCUACUGAUCCUGCCAGACCGCCAGUCAAACAAAAACCCAGAAAGUUCAAGCCGGAUUUGAGUUUGAGGAUAAAAGAAGAAGUGACCAAGCAGAUAGAGGCAAACAUGGUGAUGGUCACAAAUUAUCCCGCAUGGCUGGCGAAUAUCAUACCGGUGCUAAAGAAGGAUGUGAAGAUUUAGGAUAUGUGUGGACUAUCGACAUCUUAACAAGGCUAGUCCAAAAGACAAUUUCCCUUUACCAAACAUCCAUAUCCUCAUCGACAAUUGUGCGAAGAACAAGCUGCAGUCAUUCAUGUAUUGUUUUGUCGGGUACAAUCAGAUCCAGAUGCAUGAAGAAGAUGUGGAGAAGACAAUGUUCACUUCUUCUUGGGGAGUUUAUUGCUACAGAGUCAUGCCGUUCGGCCUCAAGAACACUAGUGCUACUUACAUGAGGUCCAUAAUGACCCUCUUUCAUGACAUGAUCCACAAGGAAAUCGAGGUAUAUAUGGACGACGUCAUCAUCAAAUCUCGAAAGAGUGCAGAGCAUUUGGAGGACCUUAAGAAGUUUUUCGAACUUUUGCGGAGGUACAAUCUGAAGUUGAAUCCCGCAAAAUAUGCAUUCAGAGUCCCCGCCGGGAAACUGUUAGGUUUCAUUAUGAGCAGGAACGAGAUAGAGUUGGAUCCUUCAAAUAUCAAAGCCAUUCAAGACUUACCGCCUCCUAAGAGCAAGAAGUAUGUGAUGAGUUUCCUUAGCAGAUUAAAUUACAUCAGCAGAUUCAUAGCCCAGUCUACGAUAAUUUGCGAUCCCAUCUUCAAGUUGCUGAAAAAGGAUGCUGCUACAAAAUGGACAGAAGAGUGUCAAAAAGCUUUCAAUAAGAUCAAGGAGUACUUGUCAAAUCCAUAAGUAUUGGUUCCCCCCGAGCUCGGGAAGCCACUAUUAUUAUAUUUGUAAGGUUUGGACAAUGCAUUUGGAUGCGUGUUGGGACAACACGAUGAGACCGGGAGGGAAGAGUAGGCUAUCUACUACCUGAGCAAGAAGUUUACACAAUGUGAAGUCAAAUAGACUGAUAGAGCGUACCUGCAGCACUUUGACUGGGAUCACCCAGAAGUUGAGGCACUACAUGUCAGCAUACACCAAAUAUCUGAUAUUCCAGCUCGACCCACUCAAGUACAUCUUUCAGAAGCCGAUGCCUACAGGAAAACUAGCCAAAUGGCAGAUACUUCUCAGCGAGUUCGACAUUGUGUACCUAACGCAAAAGGUCAUCAAAGGACAAACUUUAUCCAAUCACCUUGUAGAGAAUCCAGUGGACAAGGAUUAUGAGCCGCUUACUACAUACUUUCCGAAUGAAUAAGUGUUGUUCCCCAGAGAAGACUUCGCAGAGUCAUACCCAGGAUGGAGAAUGUUCUUCGACGGAGCAACAAAUUUCAAAGGAGUAGGAAUUUAGGCAGUCUUAAUUUCAAAAUCCGGACAGCAUUACUCGGCAUCAGCAAAGAUAAGGUUCACCUACAUCCAUAAUACAGCCGCGUAUGAAGCAUGCAUCCUCGGGAUUAGGAUGGCAAUCGACAUGAACAUCCAGGAGCUUCUUGUCAUAGAAGAUUCUGAUUUGUUGAUACAUCAAGUCUAAGGAGAAUAAACUACCAAAAAUGACAAGAUCCUUCCGUACCUGCAUUGCGUAAAUGAGUUAUGCAAGUAGUUCACAAAGAUCGAGUUCAAACACAAUCCCAGUAUCCAGAACGAGUUUGCCAAUGCUCUCGCAACCUUGUCAUCCAUGAUCCAACAUCCAAGUAAGAAUUGCAUCGAUCCUAUUGAGAUAGAGGUCCGGGAUCAGCAUGCGUACUAUUUCCAUGUAGAUGAAGAGCCAGAUGGUAAGUUCUGGUACUACGACAUCAAGAGGUUUCUGGAAAUAAGAGAGUACCUAGAGAAUGCCACCAAUGGUCUGAAGCGAGCACUCACAUGACUAGAAAAUCACUUUUUCCUCAACGGGGAAGUCUUGUAUAGGAGGACCCCGAACUUGGGUCUGUUAAGAUGUGUAGAUGCUGCUAAAGCAACCAAAUUGCUAGAAGAAGUACAUGCAGGGACAUGUUGUCACGACCCAAAUCGAUGGGCUGCGACGAGCACCCGGUACCUUACUAAACUGAGUACCAACAUAACAUAUCUUUUCGUAUCAUACUAUCAUAGGAAAAUGAGACGGAAAAGCUGCCGUGAGAUAACUAGAAUAAAACAUGUAAUACCAACUUAUACAUAAGACAUACGACCUAUAAGACCAAAACGAUCACUCGUACACUGAACAUAGGCCGAUAAGUCCAUACAAUCUUUCAUAUACAUGCCAUCUAUCUACAAGCCUCUAAGAAUACAUAAUUGUCAUAAAGGACGGGACAGAGCCCAGCCAUAGCAAUCAAUACAUAUCCUAAUCAUACUGACCAAAUAGCAUCUCCGGAGCAAAUGGAGCGCACCAACACCUUCCGCUGAGCUGAUAGCUUACUUGGAGGGCUCUCAACCUGUCUAUCGGGACCUCUGGGCAUGAAACACAACAUCCCCAAGCAAAGGGACAUUAGUACAAAUAAUGUACCAAGUAUGUAAGUAAUGAAAAUCAGUAAAUAAUAGACAUGAGAGAAACAUGGAGUAAAAGACUCAACAUGUAAGUCUGAAUAAAUUUGUGAAUCAUUAGCAUUUACAAUGUCAUGCAUAUGCGUAUAAAUGUCAUACCAUGAUUAGGUAUAUACGUUCAUAACAUCAUCAAGCCUCUGAGGUCAUCCCAUCAUAUCAUCUUGGCCAUUGUGGGUAAAUCAUCAACGUAUACCAACUGAUCAGGUCGUGGUGCGUAUAUAACGUUGUAAUCUUUUUCCCAUAUCCCAUAUACAUAUAAUAUACGCGUUUAUAGUGCCAUCUGGUCAUGGGUCAAUGUACAUGUAUAAAUGAAUGAAAUGCAUAUGAAAUAUGUCAAUAAAAUAUCUCGGAACGUCAUAGGACCAUUAUGCCUUUGGUUAAUGUCAUGAAAUAAACUUUAUCAAUUUACGUAUUUUCUGNNNNNNNNNNNNNNNNNNNNNNNNNNNNNNNNNNNNNNNNNNNNNNNNNNNNNNNNNNNNNNNNNNNNNNNNNNNNNNNNNNNNNNNNNNNNNNNNNNNNNNNNNNNNNNNNNNNNNNNNNNNNNNNNNNNNNNNNNNNNNNNNNNNNNNNNNNNNNNNNNNNNNNNNNNNNNNNNNNNNNNNNNNNNNNNNNNNNNNNNNNNNNNNNNNNNNNNNNNNNNNNNNNNNNNNNNNNNNNNNNNNNNNNNNNNNNNNGCUAGUUUUAUUUGUAUCAUUUGGAUCAUGCCAAAAAUAAAGAAGGGAUAGCCUUAACAUUCCUGAGUCGAUUCUCUUGACAAUCCCUCUAACACACGUCUUUUGCGAAAACACGUAACGAUGGAUCGAAGUAGAGAAAAAUCCGUAUGAUGUUCUUGAGAAAGAUUAUACCGGGCUCCCUUAGAAUUGCAUCUUACGCUGCUAUUACAUGAUAUAAUCUAGUAUAAUUUGCUGAAGCUUCAUCCGUCACUUAGUAAAUAUGACCAUCUUCAUUUUAUGAUUUUAGAGAAGGCUUUUGUUGUAGCUAAUCACGUUACCAUUGCAAAUCUAUAUCUUAUCUCUCUUAAAUGAAUUAGAGAGACUCCUUAUUAUAGUGGUGUGGGCCCCACUUGAUGUGGUGGCUUAACCACAUACCUUUAAUUUGCCACCUUUUCCUAAUGACUUAAGAGUCAUGAAUCUGUAGGUGGCUUGCUGCCACGUUGGGGGGAGGGGGGGGGGGUUAAUCUUACCCAAAUUCUUUAAUUAAUCUCCCACUAAAAAUUAAUAAUUAAAUAAUUAUCCACAUAAUUAAAAAUUAUCUCAAAUUACUUAAAAUACUACUCACUUUCAACACACUUUAUAUACCUUACUAUCAUGGUCAUGUGAUACGUUGUAUGGCACUAGUUCAUAAAUAUCGGGUAUUUUAUCUCUGGCCGUAUUUUAUCACAAAUUGACAACCUUCAACGAAAUUCAGUUUCUUUGAUUUGUUUACCCUUUAACCUUCACGAAUUUACUUAUCACUUGUUUUAAAUAGUGUAAUACUUAUAAUCUCAAAAUAAUCUCAUUCCCGAGCUUACGUCGAUUACCUUACGAUGAAACUUUAAUGCACAAAAAUGCGGGAUGUAACAUCUCAUUUCUGAGCUUAUAUCAAUUUAUUUAUGGCGUACUUCCACGUACAAAAAUAUGGGGUGUAACAUCAUUCCCCCCUUUGGAACAUUCGCCCUCGAAUGUUGACUGAUACACUUAUCAUUUUUAUAACCUAUGUCUUCUGAAUACUUUAGUACUCUUCUUGCCAUCUAGGCAACUGUUCUAUGAAUAAAUCCAAAGGCCAGAGCAUUUCCCCCUUUAGGCCUCUUGCUUACACCAUGACUUGUGGUCGGAAUCUUUCCAAUCUUGUAACUAUUGCUACCUUCUGUCAUGCAGCCUGUACCACGUUUUCCUUGUAUGGGCGCUUAUGCGACUCUUCCCCUCCAGAUUUUUCCUCCAGUUUUUUGCCAAUCUCUAGGCCUCACUUUGUAAACAUAUACAUAGCUUGACAAGAUAUCCCUCUGGGCAUCUAUAGGUAUACUGACAUUCUUCGCUCGGUACUUUGUUGAACUUACGAAUAUCGUUAUAUCUUAUUUCAUAGACCCGGUUAUCCCUCCGUUGUUGAUUCACCUCAAUAUUGAUCUACAAUUUACCACUGAUACCUUGAAACCUCUUACGUAAUCACUAGGGCUCACGUUGUAUCGUGAAACAUUUGAAGUGAUUUUCCUGAUCCACCUGGGGGCGAUACAAUACUAUACUUCCAAAAUCGUAUUUCAUAGCAUCCCGAUGUGAUUCACCUUAUGUGGGUAUUUUAAUCCUGUACAAUUACAUGGAAUCCCCUUUUUCUUUUUCUUUUCUUUUUUCCUUCAAAUCUUUACUCAAUCAAAAGCCCAAAUGUCAUCCUUUAUCUAUCACAAUUACACCCUUAUUCUACUACCAGGGAAGCAUUUCGUCUCUUCUAAAUGCUAUUAGUCUUAGACUCCUUUGAGUUCAUUCAUGCUAUACUGAACUUUCUAUAACUUAUAGAAACAAUUAGCUCUCUUGGUUUCAUGGGCUUAAUCCCGAGGACUUAUCCAUUCUCGCCACCUUCUUAGUUGCCCUUCCUCAUCCUUACUCAUGUCUUCCUAAAACCUUGCGCUCUACCAUACUUUAGCUUGCGACCUACACAUAUCCAUUUAUACUACUCGAAACCUUCCUUCAACUUGCUUGUAUCAUAUAUUUCCUUAUGUUAUUCUGGAACAUCAAGCGAGAUAUCAUAUCAUCUCAAACUCUUCUUUACUCUUUUAACUAGACCUCUCGAUACCUAGAAACCAUAGGCUGGAAAAUAUGCCACUGACGAUGCUGCUAUCAUUCAUGGAUACUAAUUCCUAGCGCUUCUAGCCUUCUAUCUGAAGUAUGGACUAUUUACAACCUUCUGCAUUUGAGUAUCUCGUACGUUGUCCACAUUUACCUUACUUUACCUUAAAGUCUCGCAUCAUAUCUUCUAUCUCUUUCAUGACCUCCCUUCCACAUAGGCAUCAUUCACAUCCAUAAUUUGAAGCUCUAUUAUAAUACUUGCACCUCUGGUGCAUACACAAUCCGGUGGGAGCUUCAUACUGACUUCUUAUAAGGCUAGUACUCUUUUAACUGGCUUUAUCGUAGAGCCGUUAUAGAAUAUGAUUACUGUACUAUCUUUCUUGUACCUAUGAUAUUAAGAGUGAUUCUGCAAUGAUCCCAAUUAUGAUGUCCAUAAUUUUCUGGGUCCAAUAAUCAGAUUCCUAAUUUACUUAGUUGAUGUAACUCUUUAGUUUCCUCUCCCUUCUGAUCAGCCUUUAUGUAGGCUUAAGUUAUCUUCCGAUCUACGUCUCCUGGUAUUAGCUAUUACUUUAGCCUUUCAUGGGCGCUAUGGAAUAUUCAUGAUACAAUCUUUUAACAAUUCAAUCCCUUGUCUAUGACCUGGACUCAAUUCUUUCUUUUAACAUAUACCAGAGUCUUCUACAACUGUAUGAUUGUCAACAUAUAUGUUGCAUGGAUAAUACUCCGAACUAUUAAGUGCGUUCAUAACGUAACUCACUCUAGAUCAUUGAUCGAAUAAUUCCUUUCGUUCCUUCUCAGAUUUCUUUAAAGGUAAGCUAUUACCUUUCCUGGUCUUUCUUCCCCUUGUUUCAUGCAUACUUAGCUUAUCUUAGUUCCCACGCAUGCCAGAAUUUUCGUGCAACUCAUGUGAUCUCGAUUAUUACUUUUGAUUUUUACUUCCCGUUCACUAGCCACGGUAGGUGCCACUUUUUUAUGGAGUGCAUACAAUGUUGUAUUAAAACUGGUUUUACAUGGCCAUUUCUUUUUCAGGUUACUAUGCUUAGGUUGAAGCCUUCUUUCAUAUUUCCUCAGCUAAUCUUUCAUUGUAGUACUUAAGAAGGACCCUCUGACUCUUGUAAAGCUGCGAGCUUAUUACAUCGUAUAUUCGACAAGAUUUUUGAUGUCCUUCCUCGCUUAUAAUUAUCCGUAGUUACUUACCUCCAUGCCCUUGUGCUUGUAGGGUUGCUUCUGAACUGAUAUUUUGACUGUUUCCUAGUUGCACUCUCUUUUAUUUUCGUAACACUUAUACGACACCUUUAACUACCCCUACUCAUAUCUGAAUAUUUCUCAAGGUCACGAUGUCAUAUUUGCGAGACUGAUUUUCACAUGUUGGGGUUCAUUAUGUUCAUCUUGCACGAUCUGUUGAUUUGUCUGUAUCCUCUUGUCUAACCAUAACUAGGCUCUUCCUGGAUUAACUACUAACUACUCAUUGGCCCAUUCUCACAUGAAUAUUCUGUGUGAUCUUUCUUGGGUUAUUUCCUUUGUCUUAAUUUACUUCUCGCACUGGCUCCUUAUCUAUCAAUAACAUCUCAGGAAGGAACCCUUACUUUCUCUCCUUGACAUCGUGUUUGCAUAACGUUCUAGAAUCAUAGCAUAUCUGUAGGAUUUGGAUAAGUGCAAUCUCAUUCAUUUCUCAUUUUUUAUCGCAUUCUUCCUUUACUAUUCCAUAGUUACUAGAACCACUUAAUUCUGACUUAAUGCCACAUCACUCCAUAUUUCCCCCUUUAGUGGAGUACUAAGAUUUAGCGUUACGACGAUCUACCUAUAGAUGUUUUACCUCUUUAUCUGUGGCAUCUUUUCACAUUAUCGAUGGCCCUAACUCGCCUUGCGGUAAUCCUUCUGUGCCAAGGAUAACGAAAAUUCCUUACUCGCGAGGGUGUCACUUAGUGUAACUGGUACAUAUAGUCCCUUAAGCUUNNNNNNNNNNNNNNNNNNNNNNNNNNNNNNNNNNNNNNNNNNNNNNNNNNNNNNNNNNNNNNNNNNNNNNNNNNNNNNNNNNNNNNNNNNNNNNNNNNNNNNNNNNNNNNNNNNNNNNNNNNNNNNNNNNNNNNNNNNNNNNNNNNNNNNNNNNNNNNNNNNNNNNNNNNNNNNNNNNNNNNNNNNNNNNNNNNNNNNNNNNNNNNNNNNNNNNNNNNNNNNNNNNNNNNNNNNNNNNNNNNNNNNNNNNNNNNNNNNNNNNNNNNNNNNNNNNNNNNNNNNNNNNNNNNNNNNNNNNNNNNNNNNNNNNNNNNNNNNNNNNNNNNNNNNNNNNNNNNNNNNNNNNNNNNNNNNNNNNNNNNNNNNNNNNNNNNNNNNNNNNNNNNNNNNNNNNNNNNNNNNNNNNNNNNNNNNNNNNNNNNNNNNNNNNNNNNNNNNNNNNNNNNNNNNNNNNNNNNNNNNNNNNNNNNNNNNNNNNNNNNNNNNNNNNNNNNNNNNNNNNNNNNNNNNNNNNNNNNNNNNNNNNNNNNNNNNNNNNNNNNNNNNNNNNNNNNNNNNNNNNNNNNNNNNNNNNNNNNNNNNNNNNNNNNNNNNNNNNNNNNNNNNNNNNNNNNNNNNNNNNNNNNNNNNNNNNNNNNNNNNNNNNNNNNNNNNNNNNNNNNNNNNNNNNNNNNNNNNNNNNNNNNNNNNNNNNNNNNNNNNNNNNNNNNNNNNNNNNNNNNNNNNNNNNNNNNNNNNNNNNNNNNNNNNNNNNNNNNNNNNNNNNNNNNNNNNNNNNNNNNNNNNNNNNNNNNNNNNNNNNNNNNNNNNNNNNNNNNNNNNNNNNNNNNNNNNNNNNNNNNNNNNNNNNNNNNNNNNNNNNNNNNNNNNNNNNNNNNNNNNNNNNNNNNNNNNNNNNNNNNNNNNNNNNNNNNNNNNNNNNNNNNNNNNNNNNNNNNNNAUAUAUAUAUUUGAUAUCCAUGUAUCACAUCUUACUCAUAAUGCUUCAUUAACUCUCUUCUUAUUUCCCUGCUAACAAAUCUGUCUAUUACUUUAUUCUGAAAACUUCAACAAGACAUUCUUUUGCUUUUAGCUCCCCUUGCUCCAUCCACUGGCUCUUCGGGUUGCCUAACAUUCUCUCUCUACUAGGGACGGGAGUCAUACUAAGAUAAUAUUUAUCCCUUCCAGGCUUCCAAUGCUUAUCUUUGUAGUACUCAUAUCUAGCUGUACUAUUUAGAGUGCACCAUCUGGGUGUCUCACAAGGAGAUCUAUUAGCACAUUUGCAAUAUCCUUCGGAAUGUCAACUAACGCAAACAAUCCAUCCACUAUUUUGGGUUACCCUAACCCCAGUUAGAUCCUGAUAUCCUUCCUUCUCUUAUACUACUUCUGUUAGCCCCCAUAUGGCAUAAAUGAGAUGGGUGUGGCCGAUUGUACAUACCUCUGCUACUGUUGAAGGUAACUCAAAAUGCUUAUAUCUCCCUUCCUGAAUGGUUAAUAAUGAUAAUCUUCACUAGCUGGGUAUCUCGAACCCUUUUUCAUCUUGCUUCUUUUACUUGUUGAAAUUUGUAUCUAUCUUCUAAAUCUCUUAUUUCCUUUCACCAUAGGGGUGGAUAUAUAUCCUUGCCUUAAGGCUUCUUAUCAAGAGGCUUACACGUCUUAGUACCCACAUGAUCUACUGAAUACCUCAUAUUUAUCCAUCAUAUGCAUGAUGCAAAAUCGAGUCCCUCUGACUCAACUCUUCCACAGCCACAUGCAAUCCCUUACCAACCGUCUUUCUAGAUAUAGGCAUCACCGUAUUAUGAAUAAGACAGAUUUUAGGAAACUGAGUUCUUACAAUUGAGCUCUACCACACGAUCUAGAGUAAGAAGAAAGAGUGACAGUCCUAAAUGCCCUGUAUCCUUCUGCUUAUAAGUGUGGUGCACAACACACCCAUAAAUAAGACUCUACUAGACAUGAUUUGUAGACUCCCUAGAACAGAACUGCUCUGAUACCACUUUUGUCACGACCAAAACCGAUGGGCCGCAAUGGGCACCCGGUACCUUACUCAACUGAGUACCAACAUAAUGUAUCUUUUCGUAUCAUACUAUCAUAGAAAAAUGAGACGGAAAAGCUGCUAUGAGAUAACUAGAAUAAAACAUGUAAUACCAACUUAUACAUAAGACAUACGGCCUAUAAGACCAAAAUGAUCACUCGUACACUGAACAGAGGCCGAUAAAUCCAUACAAUCUUUCAUAUACAUACCAUCUGUCUACAAGCUUCUAAGAAUACAUAAUUUUCAUAAAGGGAGGGACAGAGCCCCGCCAUACCAAUCAAUACAUGUCCUAAUCAUACUGACCAAAUAACAACUCCGGAGCAAAUGGAGCGCACCAACACCUUCCGCUGAGUUGAAAGCUUACUUGGAGGGCUCUCAACCUGUCUAUCGGGACCUGCGGGCAUGAAACGCACUAUCCCCAGGCAAAGGGAUGUCAGUACAAAUAAUGUACCUAGCAUAUAAGGAAUGAAAAUCAGUAAAUAAUAGACAUGAGAGUAACAUAGAGUAAACGACUCAACAUGUAAGUCUAAAUAACUUUGUGAAUCAUUAGCAUUUACAAUGUGAUGCAUAUGCAUAUAAAUGUCAUACCAUGCUUAGGUAUAUACGUGCAUAACAUCAUCAAGCCUCUAAGGGCAUCCCAUUAUAUCAUCUCAGCCACUGUAGGCAAAUCAUCAACGUAUACCAACUGAUCAGGUGGUGGUGCGUAUAUAACGCCGUAACCUUUUUCCAUAUUCCAUAUACAUAUAAUAUACAUGUAUAUAACGCCAUAUGGUCAUGGGUCAAUGUACAUGUAUAAAUGAAUAAAUGCAUAUGAAAUAUGUCAAUAAAAGCUCUCGGAACGUCAUAGGACCAUUAUGCCUUUGAUUAAUGUCAUGAAAUAAACUUUAUCAAUUUACGUAUUUUUUAAGACCCAUGAACAGAUGAUAGAAUAAUAAGACACAUGGGAAAUCAAGAAUGUAGACACCCCUAGUAUUUCUAUGAAUAGAGUCAUUUAUGAAAGUUGCGUAUUUUUCUCGUUUCAUUUGUAUCAUUUGGAUCAUGACAAAAAGAAAGAAGGUAUAGCCUUAACAUACCUGAGCCGAAUCUCUUGACAAUCCCUCUAACACACGUCUUUUGCGAAAACACGUAAUGACAGAUCGAAAUAGAGAAAUAUCCGUAUGAUAUUCUUGAGAAAGAUUAUACCGGGCUCCCUUAGAAUUGCAUCUUACGCUGCUAUUACAUGAUAUAAUCUAGUAUAAUUUGCUGAAGCUUCAUCCGUCACUUAGUGAAUAUGACCAUAUUCAUUUUAUGAUUUUAGAGAAGCCUUUUGUUGUAGCUAAUCACGUUACCAUUGCAAAUCUGUAUCAUAUAUCUCUUAAAUGAAUUAGAAAGGCUCCUUAUUAUAGUGGUGUGGGCACCACUUGAUGUGGUGGCUUAACCACAUACCUUUAAUUUUCCACCUUUUCCUAAUGACUAAGAGUCAUGAAUCUUGGGGUGGCUUGCUGCCACGUGGGGGGGGGGGUUAAUCUUACCCAAAUUCUUUAAUUAAUCUCCCUCUAAAAAUUAAUAGUUAACCAAUUAUCCACAUAAUUAAGAAUUAUCUCAAAUUACUUAAAAUACUACUCACUUUCAACACACUUUAUAUACCUUACUAUCAUGGUCAUGUGGUAUCUUGUAUGGCACCAGUCCAUAAAUACCGAGUAUUUUUGCCCGGGCCGUAUUUUAUCCCAAAUUGACAACCUUCUACGAAAUUCAUUUUCUUUGAUUCGUUACCCUUCAACCUUCACGAAUUUACUUAUCAUUUGUUUGAAAUAGUGUAAUACUUAUAAUCUCAAAAUAAUCUCAUUCCCGAGCUUACGUCGAUUAACUUACGACGAAACUUUAACGUACGAAAAUGCGGGAUGUAACAUCUCAUUUUAGAGCUUAUAUCAAUUUACUUUUGGCGUACUUUCACGUAUGAAAACAUGGGCUGUAACACAUGUGAACCUCACAUGAACAACUUCACCUUAACCUUGGAGAGCGAUAGCAUUCGCUACGUACGAAAGUGUCACUAGUGCCAGAUUCACGGGGAUUUUAUCCGGGUUCCACCUAAUGAGUUGAAUGUAAUGGGAUCGCCAUAGCCCUUCCCCGCUUGAGGCAUGGACGUAAUCAGACUUAUAGAACUCGCUGCAUCAAAUGGACACCAUUUCAUCUUGGUACACAUUGACUACUUCACCAAAUGGGUCGAAACUUCUACAUACAAGGCCGUCACGAAGAAAGUAGUGGCAUAUUUCGUCUGUAACAUCAUAGUUUACUGAUUCGGAAUACUAAAAUCGUUCAUCACUGACAAUGCAGCCAAUCUUAACAGUGCCUCAUGAGGGAUAUUUGUGAGAAAUUCAGAAUCGUCCAUCGUAACUCUACAACCUAUAGACAGUAAAUGAAUGGGGCAGUUGAAGCAGCCAACAAGAACAUCAAAAGAAUUCUAUGAAAAAUAGUGGACAAUCAUAGGCAAUGUCGCGAAAAACUAUCCUUCUCCUUACUAGGAUAUCAAACCACCAUGAGAACAUCCACUAGAGAAAUGCCCUACAUGCUGGUAUAUGGCACCGAAGCUGUGAUACCCGCAGAGGUCGAGAUACCAUCCUUGAGAGUCAUUUAGGAAGCCAACUCAUGCUCAUUGAUGAAAAGAGAAUGGACGCAGUGUGCCAUGGUGAGCUGUAUCAAAAUAAAAUGGCCAGUGCAUUCAACAAGAGGGUGAAACCUCGUCAAUUUACGCCGGGGUAGUUGGUCUUGUAGAAGAUAUUCCCUCAUCAAGAAGAAGCCAAAGGAAAGUUUAUGCCAAAUUGGCAGGGUCCUUAUGUGGUGCAUCGAGUAUUAUCAGGAGGAGCUCUAAUCUUAGCAGAGAUGGAUGGAAGAGUCAGCACGAAGCCUAUCAACUCAGAUGCAAUCAAGAGAUAUAUUUGAAGACAGUAGAGUUAGAUUUUGGUUGUAACAGAACUACGUCCGACCCGACUUCCCAAGGUGGGAUACGUAGGCAACCCACCUGGUGUCUCUCCCCCUCUUUUUUUGUAAUAGAAAAUCCAAAUAUCAUUUUGUAUGUAUCCUGAACUAUGCCACAACAUGAUUUCAUUCGGCAAGAAUACAUAUGAAAUCCUUAUCGGAUUCAGUCAUCUAUUAUAAUCCUCAUCGGAUUCAGUCAUCUAUUAUAAUUGAACUACGUUCUGGCCUGAUUCCAAUUGGAUGCGUAGGCAUUCUGAGUCAGACUCGGCCACUUCAUUUUCAAUCUCAUCAUUUUGUAUCUAUAGUAAUUGAACUACAUUUUAACCUGAUUCCAUUUGGAUACGUAAGAUGACUGAGUCAGGCUCGGUCAUCAUCAUAAUUUCUCAUUACCCACGAACUACGUUCAGACCUGAUUCCAUUUCGGAUUCGUAGACAACCUUAAAAGGUUCGUUUGUAACCCUAGGAAAACCUUUGUAACACAUUCAUUUAGAUUAGGAUGCAAUCGCAGCAACAAGAAAGCUACAUCAUCAAGGGCAUCUCCGAGAAUUGAUGUCAACGAGACAGAGUGUUUUAGAAACAAUGUUCGCAUCUAAUGGAAUUUCUAAAUAUGUCAUAAUCCAAAACGAUGACAUUUGCCAUAAAAGUGAAUGAUUUUCAAAAUGUUUUCUAAAUAUUUUUCAAAACUAUCAUUCCACCUGCUGAAAUUCAUGGCAUAACCUCACCAGGCUCAGGGCAAAGCAAAGACUACGGUCAAUACAAACCAACACCCCUCUGCUAAGAAUUUUUCUUUGAACGCAGGAACGACAAGAUACACUAAACUCUGGGGAACGCUGGGGCAAUGACGGAUCCGCUACACUCUCAUAUCUAUCAUCCUCUUUAAUUAUUUAAAUUUUCCUCAUAUAUCUGAAGACUAACUCUCAAAUCCUUUGCAGGUAUUCUGGAACCAGGUCACCGAUACGAUCGGGGCAUAUCGUAAAUAGCAAACCAUAUGCUCAACCAAGUGGAGAACUUUGUAUAUAGUGAGCUGCUAGCCCCGCCAACCGGAGUCAUGUAUAUAGCAAACUGUCAGCUCAAUCAAUCAGAGUGUCCUGUACAAAUCGAGUCGUCGUCUUGGCCAAUCAAAGCCCUCUAUAUAGCAAAUUGUUCGCUUUGCCAACCGUAGCAUUUCACAUUGUCACUCUGCCAUAUCGGAGAUUGCAAAUAGAUAGUCGCAGACUUCAUCACCAACUUCGUGAAUUGAAGGAUAGUCGUCCAAUCCCGCCAUACGUUUUUUCAAUCGACAUCCGUGAUUAGUUUGCAGUCAACAGUACCUCUUGGGCAUACUCCUUAUUACUUUAUUUUAUCUCAAAUAUUUUGACAUUUUGCUCGUUCAACUUACAUGCAUAUUACAUUUUUUCAAGUUAGAAACUCCCAUCAUGCGGAGAUAAAUUCUACAUUUUCAAGUUAGAAACUCCCAUCAUGCAGAGAUACUUUUUACAUUAUCAAGUCAACUACUCCCAUCAUACGAAGAUACAUUUUACAUUACAAGUCAACUACUCCCAUAGCACGAAGAUACUCCCAACGUGAGGAGACUUAAUGCUCUGAUAGCUGCAAAAUGGUACACAUCCCGGGUAACAAUUGAGUCAAAUUCAAGUAUCCCGUCAUCCUGAUCCCAAAUAAUGGCUAGCCGGCAGCCAUGCAUCAUCAUUCCUGUAUCAUUUACAUUACAUCUUGACAUAUCUGUAUUACGAUAUUAUCACGACCCAAACCGAUGGGCCGCGACGGGCACCCAGUACCUUACUCAACUGAGUACUAACAUAACGUAUCUUUUCGUAUCAUACUAUCAUAGAUAACUGAGCUGGAGAGGUUGCCAUGAGAUAAGUAGAAUACAACAUGUAAUACCAACUUAUAAAUAAGACAUACGGGCUUGUAAGACCAAAAUAACCACUCGUACACUGAACAUAGGCCAACAAGGCCAUGCAAUCUUUUAUGUACAUGACAUCUAUAUAAAAGCCUCUAAAAAUACAUAAUUAUCCUAAAGGUCGGGACAGAGCCCCGCCAUACCAAAUAAUACACGUCUAAAUUAUAGUGACCAAACAAGCAACUCCGGAGCAAAUGGAGCGCACCAACACCUUCCGCUGAGCUGAUAGCCUACUUGGAGGACUCUCAACCUGUCUAACGAGACCUGCAGGCAUGAAACGUAGCAUCCCCAGGGAAAAGGGACGUCAGUUCAAAUAAUGUACCGAGUAUGUAAGGAAUUAAAAUCAGUAAAUAAUAGACAUGAGAGAAACAUGGAGUAAAAGACUCGACAUGUAAGUGCGAAUAACUCUGUGAAUUAUUAAUAUUUAUAAUGUCAUGCAUAUGCGUAUAAAUGUCAUACCAUGCUUAGGUAUAUACGUUCAUAACAUCAUCAAGCCUCUGAGGGCUUCCAAUCAUAUCAUCUCGGCCACUGUGGGUAAAUCAUCAACGUAUACCAGCUGAUCAGGUGGUGGUGCGUAUAUAACGCCGUAAUCUUUUUCCAUAUCCCAUAUACAUAUAAUGUACAUAUAUACGCAUAUAUAACACCACAUGGUCAUGGGUCAAUGUAAAUGAAUAUAAUGCAUGAGAAGUACGUCAAUAAAAUCUCUCAAGAAUGUCAUAAGACCAUUAUGCCUCUGAUUAAUAUCACAAAAUAAACUUAUCAACUUACGUAUUUUCUUAGACCCAUGAACAGAUGAUAGAAUAAUAAGACACAUGGGGAAUCAAGAAUAUAGACACCCCUAAUAUUUUUUUGAAUAGAGUAAUUUAUGAAAGUUACGUAUUUUGCUCAUUUUAUUUGUAUCGUAUUGAUCAUGCCAAAAAGAAAGAAGAGAUAGCCUUUACAUACCUUAUCCGAUUCUAUUGACAAUCCUUCCAACACACGUUGAUUGAGAUAAAACAUGUAACCGCGGAUCGAGGUAGGGGAAAAUUCGUAUGAUAUUCUUUGAGAAAGAUUACAUUGUACCCCCUUAGAAUCGCAAAAUCCCGUUGCUAUAACAUUACGUAGUCUCGUAGGAUUUUUUUGUAGCAAAAAUCAUGUUGCUAACAUGAAGUCUUUUAUGAAUGAGUUUGCUGAAAUUCCUUUGUGCUUGUAGAGACUUGAAAUGAAUUUAGAGAGGUUUAUUUAGGUCUUUGGGUGUGGGCCUCACUUAUGUUUUGACUUAACCACACCGAACCUUCAAAAAAUGCCACCUUUCACAUUAGUUUAAGAGUCACUAGGUGGACUUAGUUGGCUGCCACGUGAAGGUUUAUUAAACCUUAUUCUAUUAACUUAAUUAACUUGGUAAUUCCCCACUAAUUAAUAAUUAACCAAUUACCUACAUAAUUAGAAAUUAUCUCAAAUUACUUAAAAUACUACUCACUUUUAACCCACUUUGCACACCUUUCUAGUAUGGUCAUGUGGUACCUUGUAUGGUAUUAGUCCAUAAAUACUAGGUAUUUUAGCUCGGGCCGUAUUUUAUCCCAAAAUAUCAAACUCCGACGAAAAUUAUUUUCUUCGAUUUGCUUACCCUCUCACCUUCACGAAUUUACUCAUCAGUUGUUUCAAAUAGCAUAAUGCUUAUAAUCUUAAAAUAAUCCAUUCCCGAACUUACGUCGAUUAACUUACGACAAAACUUUAACGUACGAAAAUGCGGGAUGUAAUAUCUUAUUUCUGAGCUUUCAUCAAUUUACUUAUGACGUACUUUUACGUACGAAAAUAUGGGGUGUAACGAAUAUAUGGGUAUGUGUAUGUUUUGUUUUCGUAGGACCAAACAUCGUGAUGUGGAACUUCUUCUAAGCAGCAAACCAAGCUACAACGCUAUGAGGGACAACAAACUCGUAGGCGGGCCAAGGAUCGAAACUCAAACUCAAAUAUGAUCAGUGGAACUCUAAUUCAUCAAAUCUUCCAAAUCAAGCCGCAAUUCAGAGCUAUCCUGGGUACAAAAGUCUUCCGUCUCGCAGUAUUGUCAUAACACGACUUUGGGAUAAUUCCUGCAAGCAUUGCC